Molecule: unclassified non-coding RNA, 336 nt
Filed under: soil metagenome
Description: partial contains 5.8S ribosomal RNA, internal transcribed spacer 2, and large subunit ribosomal RNA
Rfam family: 5.8S ribosomal RNA (bases 1-120)
Source: RNAcentral
GAUUAAGAACGCAGCGAAAUGCGAUAAGUAGUGUGAAUUGCAGAAUUCAGUGAAUCAUCGAAUCUUUGAACGCACAUUGCGCCCCUUGGUAUUCCAUGGGGCAUGCCUGUUCGAGCGUCAUUUGUACCUUCAAGCUUUGCUUGGUGUUGGGUGUUUGUCUCGCCUUUGCGUGUAGACUCGCCUUAAAAUAAUUGGCAGCCGGCGUAUUGAUUUCGGAGCGCAGUACAUCUCGCGCUUUGCACUCAUAACGACAGCGUCCAAAAGUACAUUUUACACUCUUGACCUCGGAUCAGGUAGGGAUACCCGCUGAACUUAAGCAUAUCAAUAAGCGGAGGA